GAUUCUGAUUCUCCCAUUCACCUCUCUCCUCCCUCUUCUCCCACAUCUGUGCAAAUACCUUUUUCUGUCACUGUCCCAACUGCUUCAGCCUUCCCUUCUCCUUUCAAUCCUGCCAGCUCACCUCCUGUUUUAGCUUUUUCUCCCUCUAUUCCUGCUCCCAGAAAGUCUCAAAGACAGCAUAAUCCUCCUUCCUAUCUUAA
This 200-nucleotide long non-coding RNA is filed under the name Nicotiana benthamiana. RNAcentral describes it as "long non-coding RNA (NBEN_LNC006398)". The record is from RNAcentral. Lineage: Eukaryota; Viridiplantae; Streptophyta; Magnoliopsida; Solanales; Solanaceae.